UUCUGAACACCGCAUGACAUCAUCUUCAACCAACAUCCACAUAAGCAAUAAAAGUUUAUGGCUAAAGUAUCACAUGAAAACUAAUUUCUUAUGUGAUUUACCCUUUAAACCACUAAUUGAUAUUUGUUAGACUUUUAAUCUUAACAAGGCAUUGGUAUGUAAAGUGAAUAACUUGAUAGAUUGCUAAAGAAGAAGUCAAUUGUUCAUGAAAGCCUUUGAAAUAAUCAAAUUAUCUAUUGAGAUAUAGUACUCACCUUGAUACUUGCCUUUGCAUGGUAUCCCUCCCCUCCACACUUGCAUUAGAGUAUAUAUCCUAAAUCCAUCCUUAAUAGGGGAUGCCUCCUUUACAAACUCACAACCCAAAAUUUGCUUGUCAAACAAGCCUUUCAUAGUUUUGUUUCUCACACAAAUAAUUGUGGUGCAAGUUCUCCUUUUAUAGGCCAUUUGAACACAAAUUAGGGCACCAUUCUUGUCACUUAAAAUGACAAUUUUGCCCCUCUUUUUAAGAUAAAUCCUAUUUUUGAGGGUGACAAUUAAGUGGGCUUUUUGACUUUAAAUAGGGCAUUAAGCGAUCAAAUUCUCUUCUCUAGCUAUGAAGUCUUUCGUCUCCUCAUCUCUCUCUCUCAAUGUAUAGGAUCCAUUCUCUCCCUCUUUUUAUGGAUCCUACGAACCACACUCCUCCUAUCAUGAAAUCGGAUUGAAGAAUUUUGGUUUAAGGAAAUAAUGCAAAAAAUGAGAAUUUGAGCUUAAAACGCACUAAUGAGCGUAAUUGGACUGCGAUUAUUAAAGGCUCGAGAAUCAGACACGUGGGCUAUUAAUAGUUUAGGCCUAGCUUAAUUCAUUAAGGCUCAAAAAGGAGAGUUUAACUAAUUAUUAUGUAAUUAGUGGAUAAUUAUCAUUUGAGUUGUUUAGUUUGUUUAAGAUAAUAAGGGAUAAACUAUAGGAGUUGUGUGUGGAGAAAAGAACUCUAGAGAAGAGAAAGGAAUCUCUACAAGGAGUAGAGGUGAAUUAGAAUAUGUGUGCUUCGGCUACUGAAUCUCUGGAGAAAAAGGGUCCUAUUAUUCUCUGCAGAAAAAUCCGGAGUUCAUCAUCUUUGACAUCUUACUAGCUUGUGUUGCAUUAUUCUUUGAAGAAUCAGAGAAGCUUUUCGAAGACAUGGAGAAAGGGGACCAAUCUUCUUCAUUCCUUGAAAAGCCUUUGAACUUUGAGGGAGUUUUAGUUUUCUAUUUUAUGAAUCUUAAGUCUUUCUAUUUAAUUACAAUGAUCAUUGGAUUAAGUAUGUUA
Molecule: long non-coding RNA, 1284 nt
Organism: Ricinus communis (castor bean)
Lineage: Eukaryota; Viridiplantae; Streptophyta; Magnoliopsida; Malpighiales; Euphorbiaceae
Exons: 2
Source: RefSeq, a predicted model, not a curated record